AUACUUUUGCAGAUUGUUUGCAACCUGUAGGUCAUAUGCACACAGAUGUAUUUUAUUUACAAUGCAAACUGUUGUCAAAGGAUUGGAAGGAUAAAGUAAUUCUUUGCUGGAAAUCUACUCAAGAACUGAUUCAUCAAGGUAUUGAAGUUAAGCAGCUGGACAAGGAACUUACUACAGAGGUUAUGGAGAAAGUGGAUCUGGUUUGUGCUUUGUUUUAUAUUACAGUAGAGUUUUUUCAGAUUGACAGUAGAGUUUGUGCUUUUCUCAGAUAUUUAUUCCUAUCAUUCAUGCCCAUCACUGGUCCCUUGUUGUUUUUUCCACUACCAAACAAGAGAAAUAUAUCCUUGACUCCUACCCAUGGUGUAGUGGAGAGGUGGCCAAAGAUGUUUUAACUCAACUGCAGAAGUAUUUGAAUAAUAAACACAGCUUUGACAUGUCUAGCUACACUGAACAUGUGCCACCUGUUCAGCCUCAAAAAAACAAGUAAGUGUUCAGCUCUACUAAAUUAACUUAUCAGUAUACCUCGAUUUUUGUGUUUAUUGCUGAAUGAUUACUGCAUUUAUUUCAGUUACGAUUGUGGCUUUCAUGUUUUAUUGUAUAUUUAAGAAUUCAUGAAGGAGAAGAUGUAUAAAAUCAACAGAAAAAUGGUGUUGAAAUUCAGAAAGCAGCUUUGCAUGAAUCUUUUGUACCAUCCUUUGAACAGAAUAAAUCUUGUGGAAUUCAAAAUAAGCUAGGUAUUACAUUGAAAAGGAAACUUCCUGGUAUACUUGAUCUUACUAUUGGAGGUGAGAGCAAUAAAUCUGAGGAUACAGUGCUAACUGACACAGAGAACAGAGAUGAUAA
Panicum virgatum (switchgrass) is the source of this 843-nucleotide long non-coding RNA. RefSeq lists it as uncharacterized. Lineage: Eukaryota; Viridiplantae; Streptophyta; Magnoliopsida; Poales; Poaceae. The transcript is spliced from 3 exons. The record is from RefSeq and is a predicted model, not a curated record.